GGAAAAGUGACCGAGUGGUUUAAGGUACGGACCUGGAAUGUCCGCGUAGUUCUAAUAACUACCGAGGGUUCGAAUCCCUCCUUUUCCG
This 88-nucleotide transfer RNA is filed under the name Treubaria triappendiculata. RNAcentral's name for it is "tRNA-Ser". It matches the Rfam family "tRNA". Rfam says of the family: Transfer RNA (tRNA) molecules are approximately 80 nucleotides in length. Their secondary structure includes four short double-helical elements and three loops (D, anti-codon, and T loops). Further hydrogen bonds mediate the characteristic L-shaped molecular structure. tRNAs have two regions of fundamental functional importance: the anti-codon, which is responsible for specific mRNA codon recognition, and the 3' end, to which the tRNAs corresponding amino acid is attached (by aminoacyl-tRNA synthetases). tRNAs cope with the degeneracy of the genetic code in two manners: having more than one tRNA (with a specific anti-codon) for a particular amino acid; and 'wobble' base-pairing, i.e. permitting non-standard base-pairing at the 3rd anti-codon position. The record is from RNAcentral. Lineage: Eukaryota; Viridiplantae; Chlorophyta; Chlorophyceae; Treubariaceae.